GGUACCCCACGUGACCAAAUUACAGCUCAUCAGCAUAAACUAAAUUUGAAAAAUGGAGGAUGAUAUAAAUGAGUGCCAAACCAUGGUGUGGUGCAUUAAAUGUCUUCCAUUUAUUUUCUCUCCACAAGAGAAAUCUAGUCUCAGCUCAACUAUAUAUACAUGUUAUUAGUGCCCAAACUUGUACCCACCACAGUACUCUCUCCUAUACCAAAAUACUGAAAAGAAGAGGGUAGAAAACCUGAAGCCAUGACUAGCAACAAGAACACUGCCGCCACCAGGGCGAAGGUGGCAAUGGUGUUGCUUUUACUAGCGACGACGCUCCUGUUGACAACGGUGGCGGAUGCACGGCCUUAUUUGGAUGUGCUGCCUCCGUCGACAUCACAUAGCGUGGCUGGGAAUUUGCUGCCAUACAAGAUCAUACCGCCCUCUGGGCCUAGCGAUUUCUGGGGCGGCGAGCCACUACCGCCGCAUGUGGAGGUGAAAACCAACCAUGGUAAUUGAGUGCAAGGAGUGGUGUGAAUGAGAAUAGUUGGUGAUGUAGGGAUGAAUGCAUCACAAGGGCCAUAAUGCCAUGUAAUGACUUAUGCAAGAACUUGAAUAACAAGAGCGCAUGGUCUUGAUCAUUUUCCUUGGGUUUUUGCAUAUGCAUGUGUAUCCGCUUUAUUUGUCAAAACACAAGGUCAUACACCUUUAAUCUUAUUUGGAUCUUAAUGUCAUCCUUCGUUUGUUUGAAAUAUAUCGAGGUGGCUUAUGGUGUUUGUUAGAAAGAUGUUGAGGUAAAACUAGAGCACCCCAUCCCCACCACCCCAAUGACGGCAUGGGUGGAAAUGUCGCCAUCAUAGAUCUUGCUCCUCUCUCUACCUUGAUGAGUGCAUCCCUAGAAGAUUUUACAAGCACAAGGACGGCGACAGGGCUCUCUUCCUAAGCCCAAGUACUCCUUCUCAUCCCCUUCCCUCUCAUGCCUACUCCUAGAGGUGACCUUGGUGAGGCUAGCUGGCUCAAGGAUCGGUUGUUUGCCGUCCCUUUGGGUGGAUCUAGUCUCCCUAUGACUAGAUCUAGCCAGGAGUAGUCUAUGGUGGUAGUGUGAAGGUCAGACUUUGGUACGUCUUGGUCAAGCGUUGGUCAUGCGCUGGAUCAGCAUGGAUGGCAUCUUGCCUUUGGCAGCAAGCGGCGGCCACACCAUGGCCUUAGCUGUGCCUUUUUGGUAAUAUUAGAAACGACAACUUAGCAAGGCCCACGGUUUUGGCGCUGGCAUCACAUUGUUGGUG
RNAcentral lists this long non-coding RNA (1268 nucleotides) under Sorghum bicolor (sorghum). RNAcentral describes it as "long non-coding RNA (SBIC_LNC015303)". Lineage: Eukaryota; Viridiplantae; Streptophyta; Magnoliopsida; Poales; Poaceae. The record is from RNAcentral.